Molecule: ribosomal RNA, 660 nt
Filed under: uncultured bacterium
Lineage: Bacteria
Description: bacterial SSU rRNA
Rfam family: Bacterial small subunit ribosomal RNA
Source: RNAcentral
AGUGGCGGACGGGUGAGUAACGCGUGAGAAUCUGCCUUGGGGUCGGGGACAACCACUGGAAACGGUGGCUAAUACCGGAUACGCCUUCGGGUAAAAGAUUUAUUGCCCUAAGAGGAGCUCGCGUCUGAUUAGCUAGUUGGUGAGGUAAGAGCUCACCAAGGCAGCGAUCAGUAGCUGGUCUGAGAGGACGAUCAGCCACACUGGGACUGAGACACGGCCCAGACUCCUACGGGAGGCAGCAGUGGGGAAUUUUCCGCAAUGGGCGAAAGCCUGACGGAGCAAGACCGCGUGAGGGAGGAAGGCUCUUGGGUUGUAAACCUCUUUUCUCAGGGAAGAAGCUCUGACGGUACCUGAGGAAUCAGCCUCGGCUAACUCCGUGCCAGCAGCCGCGGUAAUACGGAGGAGGCAAGCGUUAUCCGGAAUUAUUGGGCGUAAAGCGUCCGCAGGUGGCGAUUCAAGUCUGCUGUCAAAGCACGGGGCUUAACUCCGUAAAGGCAGUGGAAACUGAAUAGCUAGAGUGCCGUAGGGGUAGAGGGAAUUCCCGGUGUAGCGGUGAAAUUCGUAGAGAUCGGGAAGAACAUCGGUGGCGAAAGCGCUCUACUGGACGGCAACUGACACUCAGGGACGAAAGCUAGGGGAGCGAAUGGGAUUAGAUACCCC